Long non-coding RNA from Oryzias melastigma (Indian medaka), 2077 nucleotides. RefSeq lists it as uncharacterized. NCBI's taxonomy places the organism in Eukaryota, Metazoa, Chordata, Actinopteri, Beloniformes, Adrianichthyidae. The record is from RefSeq and is a predicted model, not a curated record. The transcript is spliced from 4 exons.
GGACUCUGUGUGAAAAGAGGACAGGGUGAUGAGGUUAACCCAAGCUCGGGGAACUGAGGCGACUUUCAGUGCAGACGUGUAAGAGAGCUCACCUCAUGAUGUUCUGUGCAGGCGGGUGUGUUACUGACAUCUGCUGGGCUUUCUGGCGGCUGAUCGGUUGGGGGAUCAGAUGCAGAGUUAAGAUCCUCGUCUCUGUUUGAAGAGCUGGUGUCUGAAUCUCUGUCACUGCUGAGAAUAAAGAAAAACAGACAUUGCUCCUGAAGAAGAUCAAACAAGUGAGGACAGGAUGUCCAAUCACAGGAGCAGGUCCGGAUUUACGGUUGGUCAAAACAAGAGCUAGAAUUUGGGGUAAAAAAGUAAACUGCAAACCUACCAUGAAACAGAUGAAGAUGCAAGAUGAUUCCUCCACCAGGUGAGAUCUCAAACUGAAGUUUUGUGUUUGGCUUUUUUUGUGGGAGGGGGGACCUUCUUGAGCUCACGAAAUGAUGUCAGCUAUGAUGUGGUUUCAGUUUCCUGCUCUCAACACAAAAUCCUCCAGUGAAACACAGAGCUCCUUCAUGCUGAAACACCAUUGGUUGGUGUUGAAGUUUGAGGAAGUUACAGAUGUUAUAAAAUAAUUAAAAAGUGUCAGAAAAUGUGUUAUAAAAUACUUUAUUUAAUUAAAAACAAUUUAAAAAAUAGUCGGUAAUAGUCUGGUACAAUGCUGGUCAGAAUCUCACGUCCGUGCACUAUGAUCCUGUGUGAAGGAGUGAAAUAUCACAGAAAACAUUUAAUAUGAGCAUAUUACUGUAAAUAAUGGAUUGGAAUUAGUUUAUUUAAAAUAAUUUUAAAAAACUAAAGAAAACAAACAAAAAAAGUAUACACUCGCUGGCCCGUGAAUCACUCAACUCAAUGCAUUCAUGCAUGCAGACAUUGUUAAUAUGAUCUUCUGCAAUUCAAACCAAGCAUCAGAAUGAUGAAGAAAGGUGUUGAAGUGACUUUGAACGUUGCAUAGUAUUUCAGAAACUUUCAUCCACAACCAUCUUAAGGAUCUCCAGAGAAUGGUCAGAAAAAGAGAAAAUAUUCAGUGAGUCUUGUUGAUGCCAGAGAUCAUAGGGGAAUGGACAGACUGGCUCUAGCUGACAGAAAAACAGAAUAUCAUCUGAGAAUGCACAACAUGUCCAAUAGAAGCAGAUGAGCUACAGCAGCAGACGACCAGAGUAUCACUCCUGUCAGCUAAGAACAGGAAACUGAAGCUACAAUUCACACAGACUCACCAAAUUUGGACAAUAGAAGAUUGGAAAACAUUUCCUGGUCUGAUGCGUCUCAAUUUUUGCUCUGACAAUCGGAUGGUAGAGUCAGAAUUUGGGCUCCACAACACAAAAACAUGGAUAUACAACAGCUCUCACUGAGACACUUUUAUAGAAUGGGUUUAUGUUGACAAACUUUUCACUUGAGUAAACUUCAAGACUUAAGCUUAAAUAAGUUAUUUGUUUUUACUUCAGAAGCUGAAAAUCACAGGAGGAGAGAAGAUAUUAAGCUUUAAGUUGCUCGUACUGCUUUAAUGCAAACAUGUUUUUCUUUCGUUGGGGUAAAAGUUUGGAAUUCCUAACAGAAAAAUAAAAACAUUUGUUUGCUGCAGUGAUUUCCUUAUAUAUUUUGGAAAUUAUCAUUGCCUGGAAGCUAAAGCAUUAAAAUCAAAUCUGCACUUCUUACUCUUUAAUGUUCUUUUAAACAUUUUCAACAGUCAACAUAAGUCCACACAUCAUUAUGACAAGAAAGGCACAGUGAGAAAAAUAACAUUCUUAUUUUAUUUCUGCCUCUAUAUCACAUCUUAAAGAAAAAGAUACAAUACCAGAUUAUCAAACUGAACACUAAUCACAUAAUUUAUAUGCUUGCCCUCUAUUUGUUUAAAAGCUGAUCGCAAAUUUUCUAAAUGCAAAGAAAAAGUCAAAUUUUUUGCAUUUCUUUGAGAAUUACAAACAACAAAUUUGAUAAAAUGUUUAUUACUGUAAAAAUAAAAAAUAAAUCCUCAGUUUUAACACUGAUUUAUUAAUUUAUUAUUAAUUAACAUACAAAAACAUUUGCCAUUGUUUUU